GACGAACGCUGGCGGCGUGCUUAACACAUGCAAGUCGAACGGAAAGGCCCCUUUGGGGGUACUCGAGUGGCGAACGGGUGAGUAACACGUGAGUAACCUGCCCUUGACUUCGGGAUAACUUCAGGAAACUGGGGCUAAUACCGGAUAGGAAUCCUUGCUGCAUGGUGGGGGUUGGAAAGCUUCGGCGGUUGUGGAUGGACUCGCGGCUUAUCAGCUUGUUGGUGGGGUAGUGGCUUACCAAGGCUUUGACGGGUAGCCGGCCUGAGAGGGCGACCGGCCACAUUGGGACUGAGAUACGGCCCAGACUCCUACGGGAGGCAGCAGUGGGGAAUAUUGCACAAUGGGCGGAAGCCUGAUGCAGCAACGCCGCGUGCGGGAUGACGGCCUUCGGGUUGUAAACCGCUUUCAGCAGGGGCGAAGCUUGUGGUGACGGUACCUGCAGAAGAAGCACCGGCUAACUACGUG
Molecule: ribosomal RNA, 465 nt
Filed under: uncultured bacterium
Lineage: Bacteria
Description: partial 16S ribosomal RNA
Rfam family: Bacterial small subunit ribosomal RNA
Source: RNAcentral